UGUAAGCGUAUACCAAAGUUGUUGCAGUUAAAACGCUCGUAGUCGGAAUUUGGCAGUUCCGGAUGUGUGCGCGUCGUGUGCGCACUUCGCGGGGAUUGCUUUUGUGGUCUUGCGUAGGAUGAGGCACUUUUAUUAGUGAACGUCCUCACGCAACCACUUUUUACUGUGAGAAAAUCAGAGUGCUCAAAGCAGGCAUUUGCCGUGAAUGUAUUAGCAUGGAAUAAUAGAAUAGGACUUGGUUCUAUUUUGUUGGUUUGUUGGGACUGAGUAAUGAUUAAGAGGGACAGUUGGGGGCAUUUGUAUUUCGGUGCUAGAGGUGAAAUUCUUAGAUUACCGAAAGACAAACUGCCGCGAAAGCGUCUGCCAAGGAUGUUUUCAUUGA
This 382-nucleotide ribosomal RNA is filed under the name uncultured eukaryote. RNAcentral describes it as "partial 18S ribosomal RNA". It matches the Rfam family "Eukaryotic small subunit ribosomal RNA", at positions 592 to 976 of the family's 1831-position model. The record is from RNAcentral.